Long non-coding RNA from Sorghum bicolor (sorghum), 2376 nucleotides. RefSeq lists it as uncharacterized. The transcript has 5 exons. Lineage: Eukaryota; Viridiplantae; Streptophyta; Magnoliopsida; Poales; Poaceae. The record is from RefSeq and is a predicted model, not a curated record.
GUGAUGAUGGAUCGAUCAUCCUUUUGCUCGUACUUCUUGACAAUAUUUUGGAUUCUUGUUCACCACCUACAUCUGUGGUUAUGGUUACCAAUGUCCCACUUGUGGGUUGCUGAAAUGGUGCCACCCUGAUUUUUUGUGUGAUGUACUGUAGGCAGAAAGCUAAUUUUGUACAGAGAGAUCAUGUUGAAGGCGACAGGCAUUAAGAUAGUGAUGGGCAUGAGGGAAUUUGUUUGUUUAUAAGACUAUCAGCUAGUGAAGUAGAAGAAUGGGCAUAAGUUUCUCGCUUGCAUCAGAUUGAGCUGGUUGUUCAUCAGAAAGGAUAGUGAAGAACAGGAAAAAGGAAGUAGAAAGUUACCUGUUAUGGUCACAAUAUGAGGAGGGCCUAAUAAUGGUGGACAUCACUUUGCCUGACUCACACCUGUUAUCUGUGGUUUGAAGCAGUCUUUCUCUGCACUGGCCGCAGUCUCCUGAGUCUGAAACUCCUCUGGCUCCAUCAGCACUUCUAGGACGCAUGAUGAGGGUGCCAAGGGGAGACAAGACUGGAGAUGAAGGCAGGAACUCAACAUGUUGGGUCAAGUACCGGGGCUUGUGCGUUGUUCGCAUGAGACCGCAGGCAGGGAGAUGCUGCCUUGCAGACAUGGUCGACCCACAAGCCACGAGUCGCAUCAGCAGGUUGGCAGGGUUCAGCUUAGUGGCCAAUGACUGCACUGCUUCCUUGUCAUCGUCCUCUUCUAGGAUCCUCUUAGCAGUGGCACCCCUUCUGCCAAGAGCCUCAGCCCUUAUCAGGGACUCCAAGGUCCCAGUCCUACCACUUCUGCCAGAGGAGAAAGAUCCUGCAUUUCCUGGUUGCUUGUCGUUGGUAGGUAUGGUUGCCUUGGCUGGUGUGCUAUCAGUAGUGCAACUAGUGUCCUUGUGAAGCUCGUUCCCUGUUGAUGUUCCUUGGGUCUGUGUCGCCAAGUCUUGUGCUGCUGCGAUGACAGAGCUGCACCCUGGCAUCCUCUGCUUGUUGUGAAGCACAGGGCUAGAUGGAAUGGGAGAGCUCGCGCCACUUGAGGAUCCUUUUGUUGUUGGCUUAUUAGGGGAGGAGGGGCAGCCUGAACAGCUUGAACGGGCUGAUGUUGUCUCAUCUCCAUCCCCAAUGGUGCAACAAGAUGAUGGUGAUAUGGAUGAUAGUGCUGUCUGUGACCCUUGGUGCAGAGCUAGAGGUGGUGCUUCAUCCUCAAUCUCGACCUUAACCGUGGGAGGAGAUGAUGAUGAUGAAUUAGCAGUCCAGCCUUCUUGCGAAUGAGUUGGUGACUCUUCAUCAGGAUUCGGCUUGACACGUGGGACCUUUGGAAUAAUGGUUGUGUCAACAUUUGGCUGGUCAUGAUCUGAAGCAAGAGAAAACAAUAUGGAGGCAUGCAAUAAGUAAGUAAAUCCAAUAAUUUCUUAGCCAAGAAGAUCAGAUGGAGGCAUGCAAUAACUACAACUAUAGGUGGUGUUGAGUGGCGGAGAGGCAAGAGGGAUCCCUUGAGGACAUACUCGCUUUCCUGGGCGGGGAGCAGCAUAUCACCCUCCAUCACAUCAUGCCACACGAAUCCGGACCAGGAAUACAUGGUGGCCAUGCCCUUCCCUCGCAGCGCGUCCAGCCGGUAGAUCACAUCUCUGAGGUAGAGGGCUUGAUUUGGGGAGGCGAGCUGCAUCUCCAUCAUGUGUGGGUGCUCCAGGUGACGUCCGCUGCGGCACAGGUAGUACACCACCGUCACAGGCACACCACCUUCACCUGGGCUGCUGCAGCGCCUCCUUGGUGCCAUUCCCUCCAUCUUUGCCACUUCCUCCUCCGAUGACAUGGUGACUUCUCUGCCGUUCCCUCUAUACUGGCUGAUCCAAGCAACUUGGAAGCAAGCGCUUAAUUGCAGAAACAGAAUGGUGCUACCUAUCUGCAGCAGGAAAUGGCAAUGAUGGUUCCUCACCUUGUGUUUAAAAGAAGCAAGGGGUGGUGAAGAAGCUAGCGAAAGGGAUGAGAUUGACAGGAGAGUCUGGAGGCGUGGGGCAGACACUUAUUGCAGCAUGAUUAGAGGCUGGGCUUCGCUUGUAGGAGUAGUAGAGCAGCAGCAGCCAGAAGGAGGCAUGCAUACGGGUGAGCUAGCUGCUGCAGUGCUGGUUGCUACCAGCACUCACUUGGAUCUCACUGGUGUUACUGCUUGCUGGCCUGUCCUCACAGGCAUACAGCGCAGGUACGAGAAAGUAAUAACGAGAGCAGGACUAUAGGAGUAUAGUACACUAGUGCAGUACAGUUUGGGUUAGUUGGGAGGCUAUACAUUGGAUUAUAUUUACUUACCGAGUGUUGAGCAAAUUUAAUACUAGUAUAGCCUGUAUAGGCAGUAGUUUACUCCA